ACUGCUCAGUAACACGUGGACAACCUACCCUUGGGUCUGGCAUAAUCCUGGGAAACUGGGUAUAAUUCCGGAUAGGUCACAGAUGCUGGAAUGCACUGUGGCCGAAAGCUCCGGCGCCCAAGGAUGGGUCUGCGGCCUAUCAGGGUUGUAGUGGGUGUAACGGACCUACUAGCCUACGACGGGUACGGGUUGUGAGAGCAAGAGCCCGGAGAUGGAUUCUGAGACACGAAUCUAGGCCCUACGGGGUGCAGCAGGCGCGAAAACUUUACAAUGCGGGAAACCGUGAUAAGGGAAUCUCGAGUGCCAGCAUAUAAUGUUGGCUGUCCAGAUGCCUAAAAAGCAUCUGUUAGCAAGGGCCGGGCAAGACCGGUGCCAGCCGCCGCGGUAACACCGGCGGCCCGAGUGGUAACCGCUUUUAUUGGGUCUAAAGGGUCUGUAGCCGGCCAAGUAAGUCCCUUGGGAAAUCUGGCAGCUUAACUGUCAGGCUGCUAGGGGAUACUGCUAGGCUUGGGACCGGGAGAGGUGAGAGGUACCUUGGGGGUAGGGGUGAAAUCUUGUGAUCCUCGGGGGACCACCAGUGGCGAAGGCGUCUCACCAGAACGGGUCCGACGGUAAGGGACGAAAGCUAGGGGCACGAACCGGAUUAGAUACCCGGGUAGUCCUAGCCGUAAACGAUGCUCGCUAGGUGUCAGUCACGGUGCGACCGUGAUUGGUGCCGUAGGGAAGCCGUGAAGCGAGCCACCUGGGAAGUAUGGCCGCAAGGCUGAAACUUAAAGGAAUUGGCGGGGGAGCAC
This 794-nucleotide ribosomal RNA is filed under the name uncultured Methanosaeta sp. RNAcentral's name for it is "bacterial SSU rRNA". It matches the Rfam family "Archaeal small subunit ribosomal RNA", at positions 85 to 879 of the family's 1478-position model. Lineage: Archaea; Methanobacteriati; Methanobacteriota; Methanomicrobia; Methanotrichales; Methanotrichaceae. The record is from RNAcentral.